GCAAUGGCCAGCACUUCUGUCAUUAAACUGUGAACGACCCCACUGAGGCCACCUUCCUGCAGUAAUGCAUGUUCUUCAAGUAGUAGUAGUAGAAGUAAGGCACAGAGGGAACUCACCUCGCGUGUUUCUUCGCGGAUCAAGAAAAAGUCCACAUUGCCCAGAUACUUUUCUAUUCUGGCCCCAGGAACAGUGCUCAGUGACGUCAAGUCAAUUCCGUGCAACUGCAUUAAAGCUUAUCAAGAAAGGCUCAAAAUGGUUCCAACCUGCCUUCUGUGUCCGUUGACAAGUAGGCUCUUCAUCCAUGUCAAAUAUCAGAUCUUGCUCUGCAUCAAAUACAUUAAACCUGUCAGUAAAUUCAAAGGACAAGAUGCGAAAGAGCGUAAGGCUUAUCUUGAUGAUCUUUACAAAGUAAAGUAUAAAUGGUAAAGAUCACCUGUUGGCCUCCAGUCCCUGGCUGAGACAGCAGUGCCCACAACUGUCACCUGGAAGAGAAACACCUGCAGGAUGUGCUGCACCAUCUUUUGUGAAAUCCGGCCACUUCCAUUAGUAAGGUCUGCCACACACUCUUUUUGACAUUUCCACAUGUGUGGUUUGCAAAGAGAUCAACUGCACCGCAGAUUCCAUCUUGUGUAAAUAAGAUUGCCUGGCAUUAACUUUAACAUAAAAGCAUUUGUGAUAAAUACCUGCAAGUCAUCUUGGUCUGGCAGCUCAACAUGGAAUGAGAGGUUCAGGAGGCAACAGGGGACCAGAUGACGCAAUUUCACAAACAGGCUCUGCAAUUUCAAAGAGGUCCCUUGGUAGGAUCUUUGUACUUUAAAACCAAAGAAAAUCUAGAGAAAAGCAAAUCAUGUCAAGGCCAUGGAACAGGGAGACGGCAGCAGGGCGUCAUGCAUCACCAGGAGGAGCCAUGAUUGUGUCAUCACGCUCAACAGGUCUCAAUAAUUUAUUUGCUACUGAAAACUGAAAAGGACUGGGAAAGUAAGGAAGCAUAAGAAAUGUCGAAUAGAAGAGGAGUGUGAUGUCUGCUGGACCCAAAGAGGUACAAUUCACCCACUGACUUUCCGCUUCCAGUAGUGCAGCACAAGGCUCACAAAAACGUGUGCACCAUGCUGCCAUGCUCGCAACAAAAAUCGACUCUAUCAAUGAAUUGAAAGUAGUUACUUUAGCAACAUGGCACUCGCACAAAAGAUUCCAAAGAACAUGCUGACAAGGAUUCCUCACGACAAGGAGAAGCUGAGUGAUGCAUUCAAUGUGGUUCUUGAUUUGAGUAUUCACAUACACACAGUAGCUUAACAUAACAGAAUGCUAGUCUACCAACAAGCCCAAUUUUCUGCCGUGAUCACAACGGAAGAAAACAGAACAAAACCCCCAGCAGAGAAUCAUCGCAAACAUCUCAUUGAACAUGCACUAAAAACAUGCAACAACCUCGGCACAUCUACUCUGAAGAUAAUGCAUUGCAUGUCAGUGACUUAACCAGAACCCCCUAAAAUUUUGUGAGAUUGUGCAAUAUUUCAUCAAAAGCAUGUACGGACACCCCCUUGCAGAAUUCUGGGUAAACCACUGAUGCAUGUGACAGGAGGCCUCUUCCUGAAUGCUACAAAGUCAUGACCAUCAUGACCACUUGCAUGAAGAAAUUCCUCUGUGGCGUCCUCUGUAGCUUUGGCAGUGCCUUACAGACGAGCAGUGUCGAGCACAGUAGCGGUGCCCGAGGUACUACAGAAGCAACUGAGGACACCACUUAAGAAUCUCCUCAACGUUUGUGCAUGCGGGCAAGGCAAAAGAAUUCGUACUUGGGAUUGUAAUUGAAGGUUGGUUGACAACAUUUCAAGAAUCUCAUUUUUUUCAACAGUCUCAUUUUUUGCAUAGCGUUGGGAGAAGGUGCAGCUGCUGAUGCUACUGCGUGCAAAAACUGGCAAACAUGACGGGUUGAGAGAUUCUUUGGUUCCGGUAGUAGCACAUGUAACAAUAAACCUUCUCAUUAUCAUCAAAUAAAGUUGUUUGGCUCAGUCGGUAGCGCCUUCUGAUCUCGAGAUCGCGGGUGCGAACCCGGCCGAGGACGCCAGCAACAUGGUGGCAGGGUACAACGAAAAUGGUUAAAAAUUGGGCUGUUCGGUGCAGCAUACUUUAAA
Molecule: long non-coding RNA, 2129 nt
Organism: Ornithodoros turicata
Lineage: Eukaryota; Metazoa; Arthropoda; Arachnida; Ixodida; Argasidae
Exons: 3
Source: RefSeq, a predicted model, not a curated record